UACGAAGGGAGCUAGCGUUGUUCGGAAUUACUGGGCGUAAAGGGCGCGUAGGCGGCUCUUUUAGUCAGGCGUGAAAGCCCCGGGCUUAACCUGGGAACAGCGUUUGAUACUGGAGAGCUUGAGUGUGGGAGAGGUUGGUGGAAUUCCCAGUGUAGAGGUGAAAUUCGUAGAUAUUGGGAAGAACACCGGUGGCGAAGGCGGCCAACUGGACCACAACUGACGCUGAGGCGCGAAAGCUAGGGGAGCAAACGGG
Molecule: ribosomal RNA, 253 nt
Filed under: uncultured bacterium
Lineage: Bacteria
Description: partial 16S ribosomal RNA
Rfam family: Bacterial small subunit ribosomal RNA
Source: RNAcentral